AGAGUUUGAUCCUGGCUCAGAACGAACGCUGGCGGCAGGCCUCAAACAUGCAAGUCUAGGGGGUGUAGCAAUACAUCACCGGCGGACGGGUGCGUAACGCGUGGGAAUGUACCUAUUGGUUCGGAACAACUGAGGGAAACUUCAGCUAAUACCGAAUGUGUCCUUACGGAGAAAGAUUUAUCGCCAAUAGAUCAGCCCGCGUCCGAUUAGCUAGUUGGUGGGGUAAUGGCCCACCAAGGCUCCGAUCGGUAGCUGUUCUGAGAGGAAGAUCAGCCACACUGGGACUGAGACACGGCCCAGACUCCUACGGGAGGCAGCAGUUGGGAAUCUUGGACAAUGGGGGAAACCCUGAUCCAGCCAUGCCGCGUGAGUGAUGAAGGCCUUCGGGUUGUAAAACUCUUUCGCGCACGACGAUAAUGACGGUAGUGCGAGAAGAAGCUCCGGCUAACUUCGUGCCAGCAGCCGCGGUAAUACGAAGGGGGCUAGCGUUGUUCGGAAUUACUGGGCGUAAAGCGCGCGCAGGCGGCUAUCCAAGUCAGUGGUGAAAGCCCGGAGCUUAACUCCGGAACUGCCAUUGAAACUGUUUAGCUUGAGUAUGAGAGAGGUGAGUGGAAUUCCCAGUGUAGAGGUGAAAUUCGUAGAUAUUGGGAAGAACACCGGUGGCGAAGGCGGCUCACUGGCUCAUUACUGACGCUCAGGCGCGACAGCGUGGGGAUCAAACAGGAUUAGAUACCCUAGUAGUCC
RNAcentral lists this ribosomal RNA (744 nucleotides) under uncultured bacterium. RNAcentral's name for it is "bacterial SSU rRNA". It matches the Rfam family "Bacterial small subunit ribosomal RNA", at positions 8 to 796 of the family's 1533-position model. The record is from RNAcentral.